This 225-nucleotide ribosomal RNA is filed under the name uncultured bacterium. RNAcentral's name for it is "partial 16S ribosomal RNA". It matches the Rfam family "Bacterial small subunit ribosomal RNA", at positions 524 to 746 of the family's 1533-position model. The record is from RNAcentral.
UACGUAGGGGGCUAGCGUUGUCCGGAAUCAUUGGGCGUAAAGCGCGCGUAGGCGGCCAGAUAAGUCCGGUGUGAAAGUCAAAGGCUCAACCUUUGAAUGCCGCUGGAAACUGUCUGGCUUGAGUCCGGAAGGGGCGAGUGGAAUUCCUGGUGUAGCGGUGAAAUGCGCAGAUAUCAGGAGGAACACCGGUGGCGAAGGCGGGGUCUCUGGGCGAGUAACUGACGC